Molecule: non-coding RNA, 29 nt
Filed under: Rattus norvegicus (Norway rat)
Lineage: Eukaryota; Metazoa; Chordata; Mammalia; Rodentia; Muridae
Source: RNAcentral
UUGUGAUAUGACCAAAGCCAUGCUGAAGU